RNAcentral lists this long non-coding RNA (229 nucleotides) under Gossypium barbadense (sea-island cotton). Its description in RNAcentral is "long non-coding RNA (GBAR_LNC008912)". The record is from RNAcentral. Lineage: Eukaryota; Viridiplantae; Streptophyta; Magnoliopsida; Malvales; Malvaceae.
GUAACGCCCCUAACCCGAAUCCGUCACCGGAAUAAAGUUACGGAGCAUUACCGGAGUUACCGAUUUAUUUAUUAGAUAUUUUAUUUCAUCUAACGUUCAUAUUUGGAACCAAUUAAAAUCAAUCAUAUUGUCCCUUAAACGUACUUAUUUUUCUCGACAUGUUUUACUUGAAUUUAUUACUCGUCUCAAUAUACUUAAUUUCCUUGUAUCAACAUAUCAAAGAUAAUCA